GCCGCUAUGCACGCGCAGGUGCUUAUCUCUAUCUGUGUCGCUCUCCGCUGCGUGCUCCCUAACACCGUGUCCACCGGAUCGCCUUCUCUCUCUGUCCCCUGAAGCGUCUCAUUGCUGCGUAGACGGGCGCUUCCUUAUUCGUUUCGGCGCUCUCCCCACCACUCCCCACCUGCUGCUGCUGAGGCUUCUUGCGGCUGCUGCCAUGCUCACCGCUGUUCCUAAAGCCGAGCCGAGGUGCCACACUGUGCCGACCUUCUCCGGCCCCCACGGCGCCGUCUUGGAGCGCAUCAACUGCAUGAUCGCCUCCGGCGACUUCGACGUCUUCUUCACCGCCCUCAAGGGGUUUCGCAACGGUCUCGUUUACGGCACGCGUGUCCGUGCCCCACACGCCCUCGUGCUGAACCUGGUCUGGAGCAAGUCGCCGUACAGCUCGAUGCCCGCCAAGAUCUUCAGUGUCACAAAGACGCACGCUUUAGGCCUCGGGUACAGCUCGGUUACCUUCGCCGUCGUGCGCGGCCUCCUGCGUAAAUUGCAAGGGACGACGCACGCAUGGCACAACGCCUUGGCAGGGUUCAUGAUCGGCGCUCUGUUCUGGGGCGACCCGAGCAACGGCGUCCACAUCCAGAUGAUGAUGUACAUACUGGCCCGAAUCGUGUGCGCUCUCUACCACCUGCUUACCUCCAAGUGCGCCGCGCCUAUUCCGCCGGUGGCGUACCGACUGUACAUGGGCUGCUUGUGGUGCCUGGCCAUCAUGUUCCUCAUGUACUCGCCAGACAAACUGCAGUCAUCCAUGGCGCAGUCCCUGGAGUACAUCUUCAAGGACAGCGGCAAGUUCAGCAGCUGGUACGACCUCGUCGUGGUGAACGCCGUUGAGACUCCGAAGUGACACCGUUGGGGUGGGGGGGGUGGGGUGCACAUGUGCUUGUGGAUACUUUGUGGCCGUGCGGCUUGUAAGCAACUGCGAAAGAGAACGGGAGGGAGGGCGCACCAUCUGGCUUCCUCGAAGAAUCCGCAGACGUUAAACGGAGCGAAGGGGGAAGGGGUGGGGUGCCACGAUAGCGUGUUGAGAGAGUAGGAGUCGAGCGGAGCGGAGUUGGAGAGCGCUUUCACACAGUGCCCUGCCAUGCCUGCUCGAUGACUUUUUUUCGCAGCUUCACUCAUGCAAACCCCCUCCCCCGCCCACAGGCACACAGGCGCAUGCGUACUGCCGUGCACGCACGAGGACCCCACUUCCUCCAACGCCCACAAUCUUUCCUUGGGGACCAUCCUGACGUUGUUGAUUUGUGAAUGCCCUUGCUGUGUCUCACCCCUGUGCAUUUCCUCGUCAUCUCGUCCUCCCUCUGCCUUCCACUUUCCAUCGCCUCUACGACUCCAUGCGUUGCCCACGCGUGUGCACUCCAAG
RNAcentral lists this unclassified non-coding RNA (1402 nucleotides) under Leishmania donovani. RNAcentral describes it as "gene:LdHU3.26.3140(CDS-product:peroxisomal_membra ne_protein_4_putative)". The record is from RNAcentral. Lineage: Eukaryota; Euglenozoa; Kinetoplastea; Trypanosomatida; Trypanosomatidae.